This is a long non-coding RNA of Brassica napus (rape), 832 nucleotides long. RefSeq lists it as uncharacterized. Lineage: Eukaryota; Viridiplantae; Streptophyta; Magnoliopsida; Brassicales; Brassicaceae. The record is from RefSeq and is a predicted model, not a curated record. The transcript has 2 exons.
UAUAUAGUUUCCUAAUAAUUGGUAUUGGCUUAGCCGCAGUUUUAAAAUAAUAACUUAGCACCAAAGAAUUGAAAAGUUCUAAAAUGAUUUGUGUGUUUUCAAGACUUUUGGCUGGAUUUGGAUGAGAAAUAGAAGAGAUCAAUGAAAGGCCCUUUGUUGAGCAAGAGUGGUCAUAUCACAAUCAUUGGCGAUUCUUCAUCAACUGAUGAGCAAACACCACUUAAGGUUGUUCAAUCGUGUCAUCCAUGUACACAAGAACGUUUUUGGAACUCGAUCGAGUUUGCUGUGAGUUUGGUCCAAAUUGUUGCAGCAAUAGUAGUUUUGACUCGAGCAAAAGGUGAACAUCUAGAGACAACAAGGAUCAUUGGUUAUGCUUGUGGUUGUAUUGGCGAUGUUGGCACCACCCAAAUUUUAUCUCAGAGAUAAGGCCUAGCCUCUUCUUCAAGAGAUUUUUACAAGCACCAGCCCUGUUGAAAGCAGUAAACUCAUCAGAAAGGAUAAAGUAGAUAGAUAGUAAACUCCCAGUAAACUCAUCUGUCUGAUUUUUUUUCCAAGAGUUGCAUUUGUUUGUUUGUUGAACAUGAUGUCGUUGCUUGUGUUUAAUUCGUUUCCAUUUUGGUUUUGUGUCUCUCUUGUUAUACUGCGCUCAAGUUUCAAUUCUUUGUUACAACUUACAAGUUGUUGACUUUUGGGUUCAUGACUUACAACGUCACGCAUGUUUGUGUAUGACGUUAAAAUCAUAAAGACAAAUACUUUUCCAUUACUAAAGUGUAUGAGUCUGUAUGUCUUAAGCUAGUUUUAUACACUAAAGGAAACAAUUUUUUUUGGAACA